UAAUUCGAUCAUACCAGCACUAAUGCAUCGGAUCCAUUAGAACUCCGCAGUUAAGCGCGCUUGGGCGAUAGUAGUACUAGGAUGGGUGACGUUCCUUCUGUUUGGAAUUCAAGUCCUGUUAUGU
RNAcentral lists this ribosomal RNA (124 nucleotides) under Trifolium pratense (red clover). Lineage: Eukaryota; Viridiplantae; Streptophyta; Magnoliopsida; Fabales; Fabaceae. The record is from RNAcentral.